This is a long non-coding RNA of Cephus cinctus (wheat stem sawfly), 8651 nucleotides long. RefSeq lists it as uncharacterized. The transcript has 7 exons. NCBI's taxonomy places the organism in Eukaryota, Metazoa, Arthropoda, Insecta, Hymenoptera, Cephidae. The record is from RefSeq and is a predicted model, not a curated record.
AUAAAUCAUUAGAGAUAGAGAAGAGAGUGGGACAAAGAAAUUAUGACAAAUUGGAAUGUGAGAAUAAUGUAGGUCCGUUCAAAGGAAUUGAGGGUAGGAGAAAGAAUGUGGAUGAGAAAAAAUAGUAACGAAGGAAGAAAAAAGUAAGAAGAAAGGAUGGCAAUAGCAAUUCUCUAGUGAGUAAAUGCCGUUUGCUGGCUAACGACACACAAUGCUGUUUUCUGCCAGGCUGUGAGUGACCUUUCCACGCGAUGUGAAGGCAGACUUCCACGGAGCAUCCUCCGUCGCUCAACCUAUACUUUACUCUUGAGUUACCUAAGAUACUUUACUUUCUACAUUCCUCCCCGAGGAGACAAUACCCGCGCAUGCACCUACUGUAUGUACUAGCCUACGUACAUGCAUGCAUACUUGGUACCAGUGGUUGAACCUGUGGUAUGGCGUAGGUGGAAGUCACGUUUGAAACUGACUGUAGAAUCAGUAUAGGUAUCGAAUGAGAAUCCUUGUUCCUUGCAAUAGAAAUUCCUAUUGGAUUUGGUAUUGGCAACUGUAGGAGGUAUCCGUGACGGUAUUACCAUUUACAUUUUUGCGUCAUUCGUGACUCCAGGGUAUUCUCAAGACAGUUUACUUAUGUUUGGUACCACUUGGCCUAGAGUUCAUAAUAAUAUUUUUGUCUUACGUGGGCUAGACGUCGCGGUGAAAAACAUUUCCGAUCAUUAUCGUUUUAGUACCGUUAACGUGACUUUAGAGAGCAUUUAGUGUUUCUUGGAAAUAAUUGGACUACGUGAUUUUAAUGAAAAUUCUCUGUGGUCGCAUUGCCGGAUAUCUAAGCGUGCAUGGUUGCGUAUAGGGGAACUCUAGGGAAGCAUGAGGAAGCGUAAGAGAAUCGUUACGGUUUACUGUUGCGUGGUUACAACCCAACGUGUGGUAAUGAUGAUAAAAAGUCAGAGAAAAAAGUACAAAAUAAGAGGAUUAUGAUUGAUCAGGUUUUUGCACUGAUCCAGGUCACGCCUAGUGCCUUAGAUAUUUAUGUAUCUGCCAUGGGUUCUGUAUUGGAGCAAGGAAUCACAUUCGAGAUGAGUUAUUAAAUGACAUAUAGUAUAAACGGUAGCUUGCCUACAUAAGCGCCGAGAGUCAACGUCAAUUUAUUCUAUAAAUAAUACAUUACGAAAAGAGUAGGGUGUGCCUUGAAACAGCUUAAUCGUAAACAGAUCUAUAGAUGUAUCUGUAAACGUCUGGAUUGAUAAUGUAAAAAUGGGAAUUCCAUUGCAGUAAGGAAAUGAUUUAGAAAAUUGUAUGACCUUGCACUGCCAUGCCUUUCCUAUGGAAAUACCAGAGACAGCCAAUAACCUAGAGUUUUUCAAUCGUUCAGUCAAUCAGAACUGAUAUUAAAGAUCGACUCAGAGUUCUUGAUUAGUUAGAAAUUAAAUGUGGAAUUAAUAAUGCUCUACUCGCGUUACGUUACUGCUAUUAAAAACAAGCCAUUAGGCUCGUUAUUAAUAUAAGCAAUGAUUAUUCUGGCACGGUAUAUUUUUCCGGAUAAAUACUCUACUGGUUUUAUUCAUUAUUCUACGUCGCGCACUGUCGGCCUUUCUUUCUCGUUUGACUUCUUGUUGCGGCUAUUUUCCUCUUCUUAUUGUAAAGCGUACCACGGCAUGUCAUGCAUUUUAUAAAGGUGACCGUUUCUUGUCGUGUUUUAUGUAACCGUCUGUAACCCAGUUGGUGUCUGAGCAGACCAGGCCGAUGCACUACUCGCAAUUCCGUUCUCCUUUGGUCAGGUCCUUAAGUACAGUGCUGAGAGGAUCAUCAUGAUUUUCCUUCGACUUGGGACUCGGGUCGUUUCGAGCCUUGAAUGGUUAUUGAGAGCCACUUGGACUUUUCGUAAUGGCCCAGUGAUUAUACACAUUCCAAUUAAGUAAUAAUACAUGAGAAAUUUCAAGUAGUCACGUGGAGAACGUCCAGUGCCUUUCUCUAUGUCUACUAACUUACCUCCCUGGGCCAAAUAAAGCUUGCACUGCUACCAAUGUAGCACAAUAAACCAAGUCAAACACAUUUCAAAGUCAGUUCAUUCAAUCUGGUUAUAGAUUGGACCGGCUCUUUUUAAAAUUUGCCAUUGGCAAUCCUGAGAGUAGAGUGUAUCUAAUAAUCUGAAUUAUAAGAUAGUGAAUAAUUUAGUAAUACACAUAAGAGUAAGACCUCAUUCGAUGAACACUCACCACUUGGGAAGACGAUUUCUUUAAAGAUCCACAAGGAGAAAGAUGAUUUGGGUCCACAUCUGCUCUUGCGAAAGUAGACUGGCCCACUUGGAACCCCCUUAAGGCCCUGGUUACACAUCGUGUAGGAUCAAAGGGGGAAAAAAUGGCAAUGUUGUCUGUAAGGUGAGCUGAGAAUUUUUCUUUGAAAUACUUCUAUACGACUGUGUCUUGUUUACUAGAAUUUUUUUUCAUUUUUUCUUUUAGCUCUUUGACUUUUCAUGACCCAUCUGCUCAGACGAGAGAGUCCGAACUUCUUGGUCCAUACAUUGGGUCGGUUUGAUUAGAAAGUGGAACAGACUUGCAGUGGCAUGAGCUCGUGCUUCAGGGCCCUGGGGGCCUUGCCAACCAACACUUACAUAAGUCCCAACUCUCUGGUGUAUCGGUAGCGAGAGUCCUGUAUGCAUAUACAUUCAGACAUCUCUCUCAGGUGCAUGUGCAGCGUGUAAUGAAACGCACAAGGAGGGCACGAGCCAACGACAUUCCUUGGCUACUGCAAACUUCAUGGUUAUGAGUAUAAGCAGCAUGGCUUUACAGUACUUUGCGUUACCUUACUUUGCAUUGCUUUGCAUCGCGGGUAGAACAGAAAAAUCAAUGUAAAGAAAGAGCUGGUCGUGAGGAUUGAAAAGAAGCACAAGCGUAAAGACACGUACAACAACAGAGUGGUUCUCCGAGUCGAGUCAUCUUCAGGAAAUGAUGUACCGGUUGAAUGGGACUCAUAACGAUCACCGUGGAAGUAUUUAAUACUUGGAGAUGAGGGUAACUCGUCGAAUUAAUAUGAUCUCAAGAGAUUAACCGGAUCUGGUGUUUGUGGGAUAACCAGGAUGACGCAAUGGAGUCGUAAGGAAGAGAUGAAAGAUACAAAAUUACAGAAAUCAACACGUAUCGAUUAUCACCAAGACAACAGGAUGAUCCGUCAUAAGAUCUUAUGAUAUUGAAGAGUUAAUUGUGUAUAUAUUUAAGUCCCACAUUGGUACACAUUCUCUUGGAGAACUCGUCGACCAUGUACGUCAACUUCUGGUGGUACCUGGUGGAACAUUCUUAUGCGCGCGACCAGUUUACGGGUGCGGAAUUAUUUAAUAGCUAUAACACUGUGGCGCGACUAAGCGACCAAGCAAGCUUAAGCGAAAUGAAAGUCGCGACCAAUAGAGAGAACGACCUUGCGUCGCGACGCGUCGUUAUAGUCUGUCUAGGUAGAAACAAGAGUCAAAGAGCCAGAAAAAGUCAUUUCGAUUUCAUGUGCUGAGACUCACUCCCAAGUCCCAAAGCAAUACGUUGGAAACGGGGCACGUCGUUAUUCGUGCCUGGAAUAAUAUUGUUUCGCACGAGCAGAGACAGGGCUGCCAAUUCGUGACGAUGAAUCAUGGUGAAAUGAUGAAAAUAUGAAUUUUACAAUACCAAGGGAAAGACAAAAAGUCAGGGUACGCGUACCGAGUACAAGGCACCAGCAGGAACUUGUGGGAAGCACAGAAGGAGCGGCCUUGAGGAAAUCAUUUCCACCGUUCCGCUCGAAAUGUCAACGAUGCAGAUCGUCAACUUUAUAUUCUCCGCUGAUAUUCUCGAUUAGAAAUUGUUGCCCUGGUGCGAAUUCAACUAAGAUUUCUUAGCACGUUGAGCAACUGACGUAUUUUGGAACACGUAUAUUUUUUUUAGAUGAAGAAUCAAGGUACGGCCGGAUGCCGUAUCGAUGACGGGAAUAUUUAUCACAUUUUAAGAAUCCUUUCAACAAGCACCGGAAGUGGCAGUUCGUAGGAUUAAAAACCUUCCAGGUCAAAGGUCCUUCGAUUUCACUUCCUGGAUCAGGACAAUCCGGGGUCUUUAUGCCUGACAGAAAACUCCAGGACCUGGGUCCAUCAGUCUAUGUUUGAAUCUGGUAUCCUAGUCCAGAUAUUCUCUUGCUGGAAGUCAUUGCUCACAAGUAUGGACAAUGGUUGGGACUUUUCUUCUGUUUAGUUGGGACCGUCAUUUGCCGUACCUCUGUUACAAAUGUUCUGUACCCAAGAAGAAGGUCCUUGGUACCGUUCAGUCUUAAGUAUUGAAACGUCUCUGAGAAGUGACCAUACGGAGAGCCAUUUGUACAACCGUGACAAAAAGCAUAUGGCGGAUUCUAAUAGUGAAAUGCUACAUGAGGCGAGUACCAUUCAAAAUCUAUAUACAGACAUGCGUGCAUCGAUACUAGACAGAUGAUCUAGAAUUCAGAGAAACGCAAGUGACCUUUUCGAAAUCCAACUUGAGCACCAAGAGCCAUUAAGCCUCAAGGAAAAUGCAAAGACUAACUGGGCCCCAGGGAGUUGAUACGUCACCAAAAAAAAAGUCUAGAGCUCAAAAUGAGGCGUGGCCACUACAUACCAUAUUGCAAGAACUUCCAUGAGAUUGUUUAAAAUGAAUAAAAAGAUAAGAAUACUGUUUUGGGCCUUAGUCAGUCCAUGCACAAGUUCCUGCUAUUUUCCAGACACCAAAGGGCGAACAGGGAAUGGUCGCAAGGCUCGUAACUGGCCCCGCCGUGCAUACCGGUAAUACCAAUCGGACAUUGCCAGUAUAAGUGAAAGUGUCGCUGGCUCGUUUUGCUUACACGUCGUUGCUUAGAAAUCCACCAGUACUGGUUAGAUAUACCUACGCUGAUCUGGUCGUAUCAUUGAACACGACCAUGUAGGCGCGUGUCUACCACAAACACUUGAGUUUCCCUGUACCAGUUUGUGUAUAGAAGACUUGUAGACGUUUCUUAAGCUGGUUGCCUGGUUCCUUUUUUUAUCAACAUCCAUACUACAGUCUACCUGGAAAUUGGUCAUGCAGUGCUACCACCUUAUAUGUCUAAUACAAGUACGAUAACGUCCGUGAAAUCAAUUUUGCUUCACUCCUAUGCGGGCUUGACUGAUAGCCAGCCAUGGACACUUGGAUGCGAUGUAUUAUAGACUUAUUAAAAAAAAAAAGGAAGGUCUAGUUUAAAAGAAAUAAAUAAAAGGAAACAAAAAGGCGCUGCCGACUCUUUUCAUGGGAACGAUUGCACCAAGUGUGGAUCCUUGGCACUAAGGAUACUUGAUACGACGCUGCGCCAUUGGGAUGGAUAUUUAAUACUCAUACCAGUACUAAUUUAAUAAGUCACCCAAAGUACAGUCUGAGUACUCAUCUUCAGACUGAUCGUUACCUGUAUUAUUACUGAUGCUGAGCAUGAGCCGAAUUCGAAUGGUGUCGAUUAGGAUAAUUAGGUCGCACUAGAGUGGAAUCGAGGUCGAUAGCUCUUCAAGGUCAUGUCCUCGAAUACGACAUAAUUCCUAAAAAUAACGACGGUCAUCAUCACUGGGAGUGGAUUUUGAAAGCUCCUGAUACCAGGAGCACCGUUUCUUGUACGAUCGACUGUACUUGUACAGGUUUAAACUAUGUGUCCUUCUGGUAAGGACGACCGGAUCUGCCGAUCGUUGAUUAGUCCUCGGGAUAUCAGAGAGCACAAGCUACUCUUAUGAACGAGCCUUUAAGUCGAGCAAGGACGACCUCAUCUGGAGAAUUGCUUUAUUAUCUGCAUAUGGCUGUAAGUGUAGGAUCGAAUAAUUCUACUGUAAGAAAUAAUACCUGGUGGUCGUUGAACCACAACGCCGUAAUAAGCCGUAGCUACAUACGUAACAGACCUAACUGUCUCCAUGCGAUUUCCGACGUGUGUGCAAGCCUUUAUGAAAAUUUCACACGCAUCGCUGCUUGCUAUUUCUAUACUGAAUAAUACUUUGUGAAUUUUAUCGCUGUAUCAUCUCGAGUAAUAGAGUUAGCAAUUCUCUAGAAGGCCAUACAGCGUUCUUCGGGUCCAGGUGUAAUCUGUCAGAUUCGAAAGAUAAGAAAAAUCGUCUACGCACUAUCUGGUAUAGUCAUGUGCAUCUAGAAACUCAAAGGAAAGCUGAAACCGACAGGAUGGCAGCAAGUAAUCGCGGGCAAGAAGAGUGGACGCCGAGCGAAGUUUUAGUCGCAGCAAGUUUUUCCGCCAGUUAGAAAUUCGCCUCUAUAUUAGAGAACAGCUCGAAGAAAGGCAAGGAAUGAGUGUCAAGAGGAAAAAUAUAUGGAGAACGUAUCGAUAGUGCCUGCGCGUUAUGUACCGAAGCUGCGUUUCACUCGCAAAUGGCAGAUCGAACGACGCAAAGUCCUGUUAUGUCGCGGCUGUAUGUAAAUUCAAAAGUAAUAAGGUAUUUAGCGGGGCCUACUUUUUUUCGGUACACCAUCAUGCGGAAGAUACACACGACACACGCGUAUAAAACGCCGGACGAAUUUUAAACGGUGAAAGUCUGUCAAGAUCUUCCCUGGAUAUUCGCUGUAACCAGAUAAUUCAAAGGGCCCAGACGACGUGGUCCCAAAGUCCCUUGAACCUCCCAGAUACAGUUCUUCUGGACAAAAGAAAGAAAGAAAAAGAACAAUAGACCCAGUCAAGUCAAUGAAUCGAGACUAACAGUCUUCGACAAUCAUGCACAGUCUAUGAAGAUACGGUUCAGCGAACGGAGAAGGUCUAGGCCUUAGAUUUAGCGAAUUCCGUAUAGCUCUCGUAAGUGCGACAGAGACAUACCUAUGAGCUCUUACGUGCGUAAGAGUGAGACGGACGUACUCGUUCUGUUAAAAUCCGUAACUCGAAUCACCCAUGGUUAAAUCGAAUCAUGAACAAUGGUAUCAGGACAUUGUUACCAGCUGUUGCCAAUUUUUCCUGCUAAGAAUAGUCCAAAACUUUAAAAUAAAAAUCUUGAGAGUCUCAAGGAGGACCAUCCCUCAAGGGACCAGAGAUAAAUCACUUGGUACCCUCCUAUCCAAGUGGCCCAGAGUGGCAGACAGACAACCAAGGAAACAGUCCGGAUCCAGUAUCUAACUUAUCCAGCCACUUCGGAUAUACAUAUAUAUACAGAAUAUUCCAUGGAAAACUGUUCGUGACCGAGGAAUAUGGUUGCUUAUCGCCAUGUAAAUAUCCCCAUGGACUUUUUUUUCUAUUCCGGAUGACUGUACGCUUGUAUCCGGUCUUGAAGCAAAGCGAUACCAAGUUACUGAGCGAAAAGACGUUGGUGUUACAUAGGCUGUGCGAGCGUAUACAGGGUGGGAAAUUUAUAGCGAUCAGGUCGAUUUUUUCGGAAGUGAAAUCAUUCAAUUUUGAGUCCACGAGUACAAGUGCACUUAUGACCCAAAAUUGACAGAUGAUAAGAUAUUUUAAAAGUAAGAAAAAAUAUUCGUUCUCUGCGUUACCUGGCGUCUACUAACUACUAUCCCCUCCCAUCCUUCUAGAGAAGGAAUUAGAGUCCUAGUGGGGCGCGAAAUGCGACUUUAACGUCCCUAGUCAGUUAAUGGCCCUGGUCAAAUUACGCUCUAAAGCCGCGUGCACAACGUGCUCCACGUAAACACGUAGAAAGGAUUUCAUUACCGGAAUCUCCCGUUCGCCCUAAAACCCCACAACUUUUGUCUGAAAUAAUUUGUGCUAUCUGUCUUCGUUUCCGAAAUAAUUCACCUGGUCAUUUAUAAAUGUCCCACCCCGUAUGUAGAUAUAUAUAAUAGACAUGUAUAUAGCGUAUAAACGCGCAAUGUACUUCACAGUGUUUACCGUCGUUCAUUUGCGUUUACGUACUCGGGGUGGCUGCUCCCAUAGGACUCCAGAGCCAUUCUGUUCCUAUGCACGCGUGCUCCUAUGCACAACAGUAGGUACGUGACACGCAGGUGCAUACGAGUGACGUCACAGGUACCAUUGUUUAGGAUUAUAACUACUGUGUAAAUUGUAAACUGCCUUUUUUUAUUAGAGUCAUAGAAUCCUAUGUAACUCGAGCGACGAGUGUCGAGGGAUGAAUGCUGGUUUGAAUUUUUGUAUUUAGUUUGAAACUGAUUAUCGAGUCUACCUACUAAGUGGAUACGCAUGAUCGAGCGUGGGCCUUGUGUGAAUUUUUUGGGUAAAUGAAAAAGCGAGACGUGAUAAUAGUCGAGUAUUAAAAUAUCACUGUAAAUAGGGUAUACGCGACGCGUCGUAACUUUUGUAUUAGAACCGAGUGGACCCAGAGUUAUUUUUUUUUUCAUUUCCUGGCUAUGGAUGGCUCGGAGAACUGAGAUCGAUCUGGGCCCUGGAAAGUUGUAGGUGUGACGAGGAUAGUCAGUGUAUUGGGACCUACGAAGUUUCUGGGACUCGUGUGGGCCCCGCAGUAUGUAUAGCCGGUCCGACUGCAUUUUGCGUUCCCGCACACGAGUAGGUGCGUGUUCGUUGAGGCCCAGAACGUACGAGGGUCCUGUCUUUUUUUCUUCUCUGUGUAAAUGCGUGUCUGCAUCAGGCCCAUAUGCAAAACACAUGGAAGAUAUUGGGUUACAUGGGCUUUGGCAAUUAUUUGAGCUUUUUCGUGAUUGCUUCAGGGAUUUUCUUGUUGGAUGAGUCCCAGAGUCCUUGCUCGCGAGGCCCCUCGUUCAGCG